CAGGCUGCCUCGCUAAACGAUGCACACCUGUAACUCACGUGACCCUGGUUAUUAUUGAAACAAGAACGAGGGCGUCGUGCCUUUAUAAGACUGCGUUAAUAGUUCCGUAGAGUUAUCCCUUCCGUUGUUGUUUAUUGAUUGUUAAACAUGGCGUCAUUUGCAAAGGUGGUUGUGUGUGUCCUCAUUGCUUGUGACUGUAAUGCAUUCGGUUUUCCGAAGAGAGAUGUGAACUUAAAGGCCUCUGCAGUUGACCGCCAAAGUGAUGAUGUGGUUGUCACCACAACACCCGUUCCCCACAACCAGACCACCUCUGCCCCUACUGAAGCUGGUGGUGGUGCAAGUGAAGAUGCUGUGGCUACUACCCCAGCACCUAAUCCACACAACCAGACAACUUCUGCACAAACUGAAGUUACUGAUGGGGCCAGUGAAGAUGCUGUGGACCGCCAAAGUGAUGUGGUUGUCGCCACAACACCCAAUCCCCACAACCAGACCACAUCUGCCCCUACUGAAGCUGGUGGUGGAGCAAGUGAAGAUGCUGUGGCUACUACCCCAGCACCUAAUCCACACAACCAGACAACUUCUGCACAAACUGAAGUUACUGAUGGGGCCAGUGAAGAUGCUGUGGACCGCCAAAGUGAUGAUGUGGUUGUCGCCACAACACCCAAUCCCCACAACCAGACCACAUCUGUAGCUGGUGGAGAUGGAGCAAGUGAAGAUGAUGCAGAUGCAGAUGAAGAUGAUGCAGAUGAAGAUGAUGAUUCAGCAAGUGAAGAUGCUGUGGCUACCACCCCAACACCAAAUCCCCCAACUACAUCUGACCACACUGCAGCUACCGAUGAUGCAAGUGAGGGUGCUGUGGCUGCCCAAACUGGAGCUACUGUAUCCCAUACGACUGAAGUCUGAUUCGACUGCUCCUCUGGUCACAAUGACCUGUCUGGACUUUUUGCCUCUACAUGUUGACUGCAAUAAAGGACAGAUUUGUAUUUUUUAAUCAAAUGUUGUCUUGCCUUUUUCAAAUUGAGGCCUUGUCCUGUUUUGGUAGUGGAGAUGACUAUGAAGCCUCUUUCCUAACGUAUUUCCUGUAGUGGUUUUACUAUAUGCUUCAUGCAACAAGGCCUUCAACGACUCUACAAUUUAAAAGCAUCUAGUUUUGUCUGAAUUUGUAAAAUGGUUGAACUGGUAGUGAUGCAC
Molecule: long non-coding RNA, 1191 nt
Organism: Clupea harengus (Atlantic herring)
Lineage: Eukaryota; Metazoa; Chordata; Actinopteri; Clupeiformes; Clupeidae
Source: Ensembl